This 765-nucleotide ribosomal RNA is filed under the name uncultured Gammaproteobacteria bacterium. RNAcentral's name for it is "bacterial SSU rRNA". It matches the Rfam family "Bacterial small subunit ribosomal RNA", at positions 156 to 825 of the family's 1533-position model. Lineage: Bacteria; Pseudomonadati; Pseudomonadota; Gammaproteobacteria. The record is from RNAcentral.
CGCCGUGGUGCUGCUGUACAUGGCCACUCAGAUCUCGUCAGCCAUGGAGUACCUGGAGAAGAAAAACUUCAUCCACAGAGAUCUUGCUGCCCGAAACUGCCUGGUAGGGGAGAACCACUUGGUGAAGGUAGCUGAUUUUGGCCUGAGCAGGUUGAUGACAGGGGACACCUACACAGCCCAUGCUGGAGCCAAGUUCCCCAUCAAAUGGACUGCACCCGAGAGCCUGGCCUACAACAAGUUCUCCAUCAAGUCCGACGUCUGGGCUUUGGAGUAUAGGGAGGCAGCAGUGGGGAAUAUUGGACAAUGGGGGCAACCCUGAUCCAGCGACGCCGCGUGUGUGAAGAAGGCCUGCGGGUUGUAAAGCACUUUUAGUGGGGAUGAAAUGUGCAGGGUUAAUACCUCUGCAUUUUGACCUAACCCACAGAAAAAGCACCGGCUAACUCUGUGCCAGCAGCCGCGGUAAUACAGAGGGUGCAAGCGUUAAUCGGAAUUACUGGGCGUAAAGCGUGCGCAGACGGUUAUAUAAGUCGGGUGUGAAAGCCCCGGGCUCAACCUGGGAAUUGCAUUCGAGACUGUGUAGCUAGGGUACGGAAGAGGGAAGCGGAAUUUCAGGUGUAGCGGUGAAAUGCGUAGAUAUCUGAAGGAACACCAGUGGCGAAAGCGGCUUCCUGGUCCAGCACCGACGUUCAGGCACGAAAGCGUGGGGAGCAAACAGGAUUAGAUACCCUGGUAGUCCACGCCAUAAACGAUGAGAACUAGACGUUG